GACGGAGGGUGCUAGCGUUGUUCGGAAUGACUGGGCGUAAAGGGCGCGUAGGCGGUUUUAUCAGUCAGGCGUGAAAGCCCCGGGCUUAACCUGGGAACUGCGUUUGAUACUGUAGAACUUGAGAAUGGAAGAGGAAAGCGGAAUUCCUAGUGUAGAGGUGAAAUUCGUAGAUAUUAGGAGGAACACCAGAGGCGAAGGCGGCUUUCUGGUCCAUUACUGACGCUGAGGCGCGAAAGCGUGGGGAGCAAACAGG
RNAcentral lists this ribosomal RNA (253 nucleotides) under uncultured bacterium. RNAcentral's name for it is "partial 16S ribosomal RNA". It matches the Rfam family "Bacterial small subunit ribosomal RNA", at positions 524 to 776 of the family's 1533-position model. The record is from RNAcentral.